AGAGUUUGAUCCUGGCUCAGGAUGAACGCUAGCUACAGGCUUAACACAUGCAAGUCGAGGGGCAGCAUGUUGGUUGCUUGCAACCAACGAUGGCGACCGGCGCACGGGUGAGUAACGCGUAUCCAACCUACCCUUGUCCAUCGGAUAACCCGUCGAAAGGCGGCCUAACACGAUAUGCGGUUCACGGCAGGCAUCUAAGGUGAACGAAAUGUGAAGGAGAAGGAUGGGGAUGCGUCUGAUUAGCUUGUUGGCGGGGUAACGGCCCACAAGGCUACGAUCAGUAGGGGUUCUGAGAGGAAGGUCCCCCACAUUGGAACUGAGACACGGUCCAAACUCCGUACGGGAAGCA
This 349-nucleotide ribosomal RNA is filed under the name uncultured bacterium. RNAcentral describes it as "bacterial SSU rRNA". It matches the Rfam family "Bacterial small subunit ribosomal RNA", at positions 8 to 350 of the family's 1533-position model. The record is from RNAcentral.